This 648-nucleotide small RNA is filed under the name Arabidopsis thaliana (thale cress). RNAcentral describes it as "putative long intergenic non-coding RNA". Lineage: Eukaryota; Viridiplantae; Streptophyta; Magnoliopsida; Brassicales; Brassicaceae. The record is from RNAcentral.
UAUUUUGAUUUUGUUUCCUCAAUCCUUUUGCAGAAUCUAAAUUCUCUUCCAGUAAAGAAGAAUCAAAAUCCGAACGUUUAAUUGAGAGUUUUUAAGAUCAUUGGCUGCUCGAUUUCGAUCAUGAGAAGAAUAAAUCCUUCAUAUCCUAAUCGUGGCCGUAAUCGGAAUUGGAAGAAGGUAUCACCUCAAGGUUUCAAAUCGUGUUGAGAGGAUUUCGUUGGCUGGUGCAGAACAUAUCAAGAGAGUGUGUUUACGACUGAUUUGCCCUCUCGCCCGCUGCGUCUUCCCGUGUUUCAUAGAUCUGAUGGCUUGCUAAUCUCUGUUUUUUACAAUCGGAGAGUUUAGCAAAAGGUAGCAAAGCAAGGUGAUUGGAGUUUGAAGCUGAAGAUCGGUAAAAUCCUUGGUCAGAAAAAGCUUUUCUAUGGUGAAAGUCGAAGGAUUGAUCGGUGGUUCAGCUCGGUGGAGAUGGUGGUGGCUGUGCCUUUCCACUUCCAGCAUGCAUCAAUACACGUAUCUUCACACGUGUCCCUUUUAGACCUAUGUUCUCUUGUUUCUUCUUGUAAUUUUGGGCUAAUUGAGUUUAUCUUUUGUGUAAUUGGGCUCUUUAUCACCUUGUAAUCCUCUUUGGAUUUUAAUGAAAAGUUUGAC